GUUCCCAGCCUGGGCUCAUACGACCACAUCCUGUCAAUUGUUUACAAAUCAGUCUUCUCUGACCAAAGGAACACUGACAUCUUACAGGAAAUCAUGUCAGAGCUGGAAGGUCGCAGCUUCACCUGUCAGGACCCUUGUGAUGUUCUGUUCUUUGCUACUGCAAUGAAAAUAUGUAUCGGCAAUAAAGAUCUGGAGCUGGGUUAUAAAGUACAGAGUCUACUAGAAGUGGGGGAGAACUGGAGGCUGCUGGGAGAUCCCUACCAACAGAGUAU
Long non-coding RNA from Seriola dumerili (greater amberjack), 272 nucleotides. RefSeq lists it as uncharacterized. The record is from RefSeq and is a predicted model, not a curated record. NCBI's taxonomy places the organism in Eukaryota, Metazoa, Chordata, Actinopteri, Carangiformes, Carangidae. The transcript has 4 exons.